This 433-nucleotide ribosomal RNA is filed under the name uncultured bacterium. Its description in RNAcentral is "bacterial SSU rRNA". It matches the Rfam family "Bacterial small subunit ribosomal RNA", at positions 29 to 507 of the family's 1533-position model. The record is from RNAcentral.
AACGAACGCUGGCGGCAGGCCUAACACAUGCAAGUCGAGCGAGGUAGCAAUACCUAGCGGCGGACGGGUGAGUAACGCGUGGGAACGUGCCCUUUGCUUCGGAAUAGCCCCGGGAAACUGGGAGUAAUACCGAAUGUGCCCUUCGGGGGAAAGAUUUAUCGGCAAAGGAUCGGCCCGCGUUGGAUUAGGUAGUUGGUGGGGUAAUGGCCUACCAAGCCGACGAUCCAUAGCUGGUUUGAGAGGAUGAUCAGCCACACUGGGACUGAGACACGGCCCAGACUCCUACGGGAGGCAGCAGUGGGGAAUCUUAGACAAUGGGCGCAAGCCUGAUCUAGCCAUGCCGCGUGAUCGAUGAAGGCCUUAGGGUUGUAAAGAUCUUUCAGAUGGGAAGAUAAUGACUGUACCAUCAGAAGAAGCCCCGGCUAACUCCGUG